GACAGAGGUGGCAAGCGUUGUUCGGAUUCAUUGGGUGUAAAGGGCAGGUAGGUGGCUGGGUAAGUCUGAUGUGAAAUCCCACGGCUCAACCGUGGAACUGCAUUGGAAACUGCUCGGCUUGAGUACCGCAGAGGUAAGGGGAAUUCCCGGUGUAAGGGUGAAAUCUGUAGAUAUCGGGAGGAACACCAGUGGCGAAGGCGCCUUACUGGGCGGUUACUGACACUGAGCUGCGAAAGCUAGGGGAGCAAAC
RNAcentral lists this ribosomal RNA (250 nucleotides) under uncultured bacterium. Its description in RNAcentral is "partial 16S ribosomal RNA". It matches the Rfam family "Bacterial small subunit ribosomal RNA", at positions 524 to 773 of the family's 1533-position model. The record is from RNAcentral.